RNAcentral lists this ribosomal RNA (169 nucleotides) under uncultured Sphingomonas sp. RNAcentral's name for it is "partial 16S ribosomal RNA". It matches the Rfam family "Bacterial small subunit ribosomal RNA", at positions 790 to 958 of the family's 1533-position model. Lineage: Bacteria; Pseudomonadati; Pseudomonadota; Alphaproteobacteria; Sphingomonadales; Sphingomonadaceae. The record is from RNAcentral.
GUAGUCCACGCCGUAAACGAUGAUGACUAGCUGUCGGGGCGCUUGGCGUUUCGGUGGCGCAGCUAACGCGUUAAGUCAUCCGCCUGGGGAGUACGGCCGCAAGGUUAAAACUCAAAGAAAUUGACGGGGGCCUGCACAAGCGGUGGAGCAUGUGGUUUAAUUCGAAGCA